This 301-nucleotide ribosomal RNA is filed under the name uncultured bacterium. Its description in RNAcentral is "partial 16S ribosomal RNA". It matches the Rfam family "Bacterial small subunit ribosomal RNA", at positions 509 to 809 of the family's 1533-position model. The record is from RNAcentral.
CAGUCGCCACGGUAAUACGUAGGGUGCGAGCGUUAAUCGGAAUUACUGGGCGUAAAGCGUGCGUAGGCGGUGAGUUAAGUCUGCUGUGAAAUCCCCGGGCUCAACCUGGGAAUGGCAGUGGAUACUGGCUCGCUAGAGUGUGUCAGAGGAUGGUGGAAUUCCCGGAGUAGCGGUGGAAUGCGCAGAUACCGGGAGGAACGCCGAUGGCGAAGGCAGCCACCUGGUCCACUUCUGACGCUGAGGCGCGAAAGCGUGGGGAGCAAACCGGAUUAGAUACCCCCGUAGUCCCUGUCUCUUAUAA